Molecule: ribosomal RNA, 395 nt
Filed under: uncultured bacterium
Lineage: Bacteria
Description: partial 16S ribosomal RNA
Rfam family: Bacterial small subunit ribosomal RNA
Source: RNAcentral
CCUACGGGAGGCAGCAGUGAGGAAUAUUGGUCAAUGGCCGUAAGGCUGAACCAGCCAUGUAGCGUGCGGGAAGACUGCUCUAUGGGUUGUAAACCUCUUUUGUGCUGGGAUAAAGCUGACCACGUGUGUUUGUUUGAAGGUACCGCAUGAAUAAGGACCGGCUAAUUCCGUGCCAGCAGCCGCGGUAAUACGGAAGAUCCGAGCGUUAUCCGGAUUUAUUGGGUUUAAAGGGAGCGUAGGCGGGUCUUUAAGCGUGCCGUGAAAUUUUGUGGCUCAACGAUGAGACUGCGUCUAGGACUGGAGACCUGGAGUGCGCGGAAGGUAGGCGGAAUGCGUGGUGUAGCGGUGAAAUGCUUAGAGAUCACACAGAACACCGAUUGCGAAGGCAGCCUGCC